This 1197-nucleotide ribosomal RNA is filed under the name Triticum aestivum (bread wheat). RNAcentral describes it as "partial small subunit ribosomal RNA". The record is from RNAcentral. Lineage: Eukaryota; Viridiplantae; Streptophyta; Magnoliopsida; Poales; Poaceae.
AUGAUGUCUGACAAUCAUUUCGAGGGAGACAUCCCUGCCUCACUACAAAAUGCCUCUCGCAUGAGGUUUAUCCAUCUAGGCGACAACUCUCUGACUGGGGUGAUUCCUUCCUUCAGCUCCAUGCCCAGCUUGAAGUAUGUGAUGUUGUACUCAAACCAGCUAGAGGCUGGAGACUGGACAUUCUUCUCCUCCUUGGCGAAUUGUACACAGCUCCAAAAUCUGAAUGUGGACACAAACAAUUUGCGUGGGGAUUUACCAGCAAAUUCCAUAGCGAAUCUGCCCAAAAGCUUGACCGCUCUAUCUCUAAAUUCAAACAACAUCUUAGGCACUAUUCCCAUGGAGAUUGGAAACCUGUCUAAUCUUUCCAUGCUCUAUCUUGAUACAAAUCUUUUCACGGGACCUAUACCUUCUACCAUUGGUCAGCUAAGCAACUUGAUUGUGCUUAGUCUGUCGAAAAACAAAUUUUUCGGGGAAAUACCUCCUUCCAUUGGCAUCCUAAACCAACUAGAAGAGCUUUACCUGCAAGAAAAUCAAUUGAGUGGAAGCAUACCUGAAAGUUUAGGCGGCUGCCAUAACUUGUUGGCAGUAAACCUUUCGAGUAAUACCCUCGGUGGAAUCAUAAGCGGGCACAUGUUCGCCAGGUUGAAUUCAUUGAGUUGGCUAAUUGAUUUAUCACACAACCAACUCACAAUGUCCAUACCAGUAGAGAUGGGUAGCUUGAUAAACCUUGGGUCCUUGAACAUCUCUCACAACAAUCUCACGGGAAGAAUACCGUCCACACUCGGUGCAUGUGUCCGGUUGGAAGCGCUUCGUGUAGAAGGGAACCUCCUACAAGGAAGUAUUCCACAAUCACUAUCAAACCUCAAAGGGAUCCAAGUGUUAGAUUUCUCCCAGAACAAUCUGUCUGGUACUAUCCCGGAGUUCCUUGAGACCUUCACCUCAUUGGAGUAUCUGAAUAUGUCCUUCAACAACUUGGAAGGACUAGUUCCCACGGGUGGAGUGUUUGCUAAUAAAAGUGGUGUUUUUGUCCAAGGAAACCCACACCUUUGUGCAAACAUUGCAGUAGAAGGAUUGCCUGUGUGCUUUGAUUCGGCAUCUGCAAAAAAGCACAAGUUUUUCAUUCCGAUGAUGAUAGCUCUAUCAACUCUGGUUACACUUGCUUUGAUCUUGGGUAUGUUCAAUUUUUUGUUGAAGCGA